Long non-coding RNA from Cygnus olor (mute swan), 2507 nucleotides. RefSeq lists it as uncharacterized. The transcript has 3 exons. Lineage: Eukaryota; Metazoa; Chordata; Aves; Anseriformes; Anatidae. The record is from RefSeq and is a predicted model, not a curated record.
CCCUCACUCCUCGAGCACGCAGUGCUCCAACGCUGGGACUGGAGGCCCACAGAGGCUGUGAGAGCCUCCUCUCCUCUCGACAAAAGCAAUUUCCAGCUUCACGGCCACCAGCAGGACUCCACCAUAGGCUGUGUGGGGCAGCGUGCCUGCCAUUCACUGCUCCUAUCCAGAUGGAGCCAUCUCUUCCACACCGCCUGGAGGAAGAAGCCCCAUAGCCUGUGCUAUUUCCUGAACCUCUGCGCUGGCAGAGGACAAGACAGUGCCGGAGGGCAGGCUGCCAGCUGCCAGCACAGACAACUUCAGGACAGCGCUUGAGGCUGUGCCCAGGCACUCUUCAGACACAACUCCAGACCCUGUCAGGAAGAGCUCUCUGUCCCCUCAUCAGCACAAACCGAGGUAAGGACACAAGGAACCCAGGCAGCCUCUUUUGUAUAUCCAUUUCUGACCCUUUAGAAAUAGGAUGUAUGUUGUAUGGAGCGUAUGUGGUCAUCCCCAGGCCUGGCCCUGAAGCCCUGCAGGAGCUUCCCCAUCCCAUCCAUCCCAUUCCCUCCGUGACCUCCCAUUGCCCCAUGAUGGCUGGGCAGGGGUUUCCUCCCAAGAAGAGGCACACGGCGCGAGGAAGGCGGGUUGACUGUGCCUCGCUGAUUUUCUGCAGCUGAGGAUCUGGCCUGAGGCACUUCUCUUGAACUUCUUUGUCUGAGCACAUUCAUUGGUAGCCACAUGGUUGGCUGGGGAUGUUUUUGUAUGUCUGGGAUACACAGAUGUCUGAUAGCUGUCUGUCUAUCGAAGAGAUUUGAUAAUUAUUACUGCCUCCAGGAAACUGAUGCUGCUAAGAGUGUCUGUCAGAGAGUCCAAACAGCCUGCUGACAUCCUGGCACAGUUUCAUAAAGAAGUCAGUGUCCAAAAUAGAAAUACAUUUUCCAUGUACUUGAAAUAUACCAGGGGCUUGGUGGCGAGUUGUUGUAAUUAAUCCACUUCCUGGCUUGAUAUAUUUUGGGAUCAUUCUGGUGCGUGGUAUGUUAAAUACUGAACUCAGUUCAUACUGUUGGUUUUUCAUGGAACUUACAUUCGUUAUGUCCAAAUGAGUGAUUUGUAGGCACUCCUUGCAAAGCAGAAAGAAGCUUUGGACUGCAUUUCUGGUGUGCUUUUACCAUUCACUCAGUAAUUUCAUCAUACACAUCACUGUGAAAUCUGCAGGACACAGUAACACAUUUUAAAGGUGGCAGCAAAACUAUUUUCUCUUUUAUUCAGCUAGAAGUCAUUUGCUAAAAGACUGCAAAGACAAAGAUACAAUAUCGUAUCAUCAGCCUCUUGACAGCAGCAGAAAUAUGAAUAGUGUCUGUGUGCACAUUGCUUCUGGUCUGAAAGAGAGAGAAAGAAGGGGGACGAGAGAGAGGGAGGGAGAAAAAGAUGCUGCUCUUGAUAUUCCUCACGUCAUUUUGGAGUCGUGCUAUUUACAUCCUGGACAGACUGAAUUUAGCCCAGCCUAGCAGAGAAGAAUUUGACCCUAAUUUUUAAAGGACAAUUACCUGACUGUCUAGUUACAGUUAUUUAAUAGCCUUUUGGAAGCUACAUCUGACCUGAAGAUCCUAUUUGUUGCUCGGAUCUAACGUGAACAUCAAAGGUAUGUGCGUUAGGUAUGCACGCAAAUCCCCUGCAGCUUUUUUCAUCAUGGUGCUGCAACCUGAUACCCCAGCGGGAAUGCAGUGCCUACAGCACCCCGACACAGCCCCGCUCCUUGCCACAGCUCGCAGGGGUCGCCUCGCUCACGGAGCACUGUACGCACCAGGAAAGCAGCCUGGCUUUAGAUGUUACAGUUCUUAGGAACGUUUUACCAAACGCAGUUCAUUCCUGAGAAUCAGGCUGCUAUAUACUUGCUCUCAGUUCCUGAUAACCUUUCCAUGCUUUGCUGUUGCUGCUGUUUGUUUCUACAUGACAAAGCAAGCUGAUUUUUUUGUGUUGCAGAAAAACAGAGUAAAAUCCUGUCCUUGGCUAAAACGCAUCCUUAGUUGCAGAGUCUGCCCGAAGAGAUCAUGAAAAAGAAGGAAGAAAGAGGAAGGCCCCUGGACUGCACUGCCUCGGGGAGCGGAGGAUCACAUCCCUAGCCGCAAGCAGAGAAACAACCUGCCGCUCCCGGCUGAUGACAGCUGGACCCGCAGGAGCUCGUGUUCUUCCUGAAGAAGAGCUCAAGCGAUCUCUCAGCACGGCAAUCUGUGCAGAAGCAGGUCUGCUUCAGCUCUGUGGUUAGCCUGCGCUGGCAGCGGGACAGCCAGGACAUUCACUGUUUGUUAUACAAGCACUUCAAGAGGGUGGGGGACAGUGAUGGGAUAAGGAGUUGCCCAUGCCUCUUCGCCUUUCAUCACCUCCCAGGAAUGUCUGCCUUCAGGGCUAAUUUAGAUGCAUUUACGUUAAUAAAUGUGUAGCCUUUUCAGCCACGUUUUUUCACUUUAAUUCCUGUCUGCCCUUGCUGGCACAUGCCCUUGGCAAUUUGCAGUUGUUUUGCUCAU